AGAGUUAAACAGUACGUGAAAUUGUUGAAAGGGAAACGAUUGAAGCCAGUCGUACCGGCGGGUAAUCAGCCUUUCGGGUAUGAUUCUGUGGAGCGUGAGGAGUUAAACGCCUUCAUGCCUGCAUAUUCGUGCUCUUGGGUGUACUUGCUCGUGUGGUUGGUUAACAUCAAUUUCGGUUAUCAUAAAAUGGCUGGAGGAAUGUAGCUUCGAUCUCGUAUUGAAGUGUUAUAGCCUUCGGCAGAUGUGAUGAUUGGGAUUGAGGAUUGCAACGGAUACCCUUCGGGGCUACCUGUCUGAUUUCUGAUCGUUGCUCUGGUGCCGAAAGCUUGCUUACGGUUAUCAAAGUCGAUGGUCAAUAGGUUAGAAUGGGUUAAAUUCGUUAAGGAUGUUGACGUAAUGGCUUUAAACGACC
Molecule: non-coding RNA, 412 nt
Filed under: uncultured fungus
Lineage: Eukaryota; Fungi
Also listed under: 1 other name
Source: RNAcentral